UGGGGAAUCUUGCACAAUGGGCGAAAGCCUGAUGCAGCAAUGCCGCGUGAGUGAUGAAGGCCUUCGGGUUGUAAAUCUCUGUCGGCUGGGAAAAACGUCUUUUCAUUUAAUAGAUGAAGAGAGUGAUGGUACCAGCAAAGGAAGAGGCGGCUAACUCUGUGCCAGCAGCCGCGGUAAUACAGAGGCCUCGAGCGUUGUUCGGAAUUACUGGGCGUAAAGGGAAUGUAGGUGGUGACAUAAGUCAGAUGUGAAAGCCCUGGGCUUAACCCGGGAAGUGCAUUUGAUACUGCGUUGCUGGAGUGCGAGAGAGGAAAGCGGAAUUCCCAGUGUAGGAGUGAAAUCCGUAGAUAUUGGGAGGAAUACCGAUGGCGAAGGCAGCUUUCUGGCUCGUAACUGACACUGAGAUUCGAAAGCGUGGGUAGCAAACAG
This 429-nucleotide ribosomal RNA is filed under the name uncultured bacterium. Its description in RNAcentral is "bacterial SSU rRNA". It matches the Rfam family "Bacterial small subunit ribosomal RNA", at positions 355 to 775 of the family's 1533-position model. The record is from RNAcentral.